This is a non-coding RNA of Leptonychotes weddellii (Weddell seal), 711 nucleotides long. The record is from RefSeq and is a predicted model, not a curated record. NCBI's taxonomy places the organism in Eukaryota, Metazoa, Chordata, Mammalia, Carnivora, Phocidae.
GUCACUGGUUGUUAGGACCCAAAAGAAACACAGACUAGGAAGCUUGGUAGCAAGGCUUUGAGGAGGGUCUGGCCGAGGAGGCUGGUCACAGGGAAGGUGGGAAGCAGGACAGGGUGUGAGGCACCCCCACUCCCGGACACACCCCCGUGUGGCCACUGAGCUUGCCUUCCCUGCUUGCAGGUUGAAGAAGCCACAGCGGAGGAGGUAUGGCCUUCUGGCCGACACCGACGACCCUACGGAGAUGGUAUCGCUGGACAGCGAUGAGGAGAUCGUCUUUGAGACACGGACUCUGAGAUGAUGCUCAGGUCAGGAAGGCGGCGUUUCCAGAAGCCCCGGGAAGAGGACAAGAGACAGAACCCACUCCCAUGGACCGAUCGGGAUCCGGCAGCCCCGUGGGCCCAUCCACCUCCCAGUGCACUCCACUGGUCCCCCUUCCGGCUUUGACUUUGAGAGCUCCCAUGGGUCCUGCCUCGCUUGCUCCUCAGCCCGACGCCGCCUCGGCCCUUGACCCAGACAGGACUGUGCAGGAUGCUGGGCAGAAACCAGAGGCCCCGGGAGCCUCCCGCAGGCCUCGGCGAAGGGCGGGACUGGCACCCCCGCACUCAGCCUGCUCUGUGGGGAUGAGGCGGCUGAGCUAAAGCCUGGUGGGUGGCGGGGCGGGCUGAGGGACCUGUCUGGGCUGGGGACAAUAAAGGCAGCCGUGGAGGUGUG